Molecule: ribosomal RNA, 465 nt
Filed under: uncultured bacterium
Lineage: Bacteria
Description: partial 16S ribosomal RNA
Rfam family: Bacterial small subunit ribosomal RNA
Source: RNAcentral
GACGAACGCUGGCGGCGUGCUUAACACAUGCAAGUCGAACGGAAAGGCCCUGCUUGCAGGGUACUCGAGUGGCGAACGGGUGAGUAACACGUGGGUGAUCUGCCCUGCACUUCGGGAUAAGCCUGGGAAACUGGGUCUAAUACCGGAUAGGAGCCAUUUUUAGUGUGAUGGUUGGAAAGUUUUUUCGGUGUAGGAUGAGCUCGCGGCCUAUCAGCUUGUUGGUGGGGUAAUGGCCCACCAAGGCGGCGACGGGUAGCCGGCCUGAGAGGGUGGACGGCCACAUUGGGACUGAGAUACGGCCCAGAUUCCUACGGGAGGCAGCAGGGGGGAAUAUUGCACAAUGGGCGCAAGCCUGAUGCAGCGACGCCGCGUGGGGGAUGACGGCCUUCGGGUUGUAAACUCCUUUCGCUAGGGACGAAGCUUUUUGUGACGGUACCUAGAUAAGAAGCACCGGCUAACUACGUG